AGCCGCUGGUAUAGUUAGUUCAAAUUUAAAAAAAAUCAAUUUUUGGUGAAAAAUUCGAUACGGGGGGGUAUACCCUGAAAAUGAAAAAUCUCAAAUUUUGGAGGUCCAUAUCUCGGCUUCUAUGGGCCCUAUCGGGAAAAUUCCAACGGUUUUGUCUUAGUUUCGUCGUCCUGAAUCCAACGAGACCAUCCGCAAGGUCGUACCUCCCAUAUUAGCUGAGAUCUGGCAUUUUUGUGGCCCAUUUUUGGGCUCAAAAACGGGGUCGACAAUUGACUUUUUUCUGAAUUUUCAAAGUGCUAUAAUUCCACCUGUUCUGGUCGAAUUCUGUUAUAAUCCGGUGUUUUCGUAAUGUGGGUGAUGGGAAUAAGCCGCUGAUAGAGGUUUCUAUAGCUAUUUUCGGGUUUAAAGAAAAUCGAUUUUUCGCAUUUUUAAAGUGCUAUAAUUCCCUUAGUUUUUCUCAAAACUCAUUAUAACCCGGUGUUUUCGUGUUGUAGGUGAUGGGAACAAGCCGCUGGUAUAGUUAGUUCAAAUUUAAAAAAAAUCAAUUUUUGGUGAAAAAUUCGAUACGGGGGGGUAUACCCUGAAAAUGAAAAAUCUCAAACUUUGGAGGUCCAUAUCUCGGCUUCUAUGGGCCCUAUCGGGAAAAUUCCAACGGUUUUGUCUUAGUUUCGUCGUCCUGAAUCCAACGAGACCAUCCGCAAGGUCGUAGCUCCCAUAUUAGCUGAGAUCUCGCAUUUUUGUGGCCCAUUUUUGGGCUCAAAAACGGGGUCGAAAAUUGACUUUUUUCCGAAUUUUCAAAGUGCUAUAAUUCCACCUGUUCUGGUCGAAUUCUGUUAUAAUCCGGUGUUUUCGUAAUGUGGGUGAUGGAAAUAAGCCGCUGAUAGAGGUUUCUAUAGCUAUUUUCGGGUAUAAAGAAAAUCGAUUUUUCGCAUUUUCAAAGUGCUAUAAUUCCCUUAGUUUUUCUCAAAACUCAUUAUAACCCGGUGUUUUCGUGUUGUAGGUGAUGGGAACAAGCCGCUGGUAUAGUUAGUUCAAAUUUAAAAAAAAAUCAAUUUUUGGUGAAAAAUUCGAUACGGGGGGUAUACCCUGAAAAUGAAAAAUCUCAAACUUUGGAGGUCCAUAUCUCGGCUUCUAUGGGCCCUAUCGGGAAAAUUCCAACGGUUUUGUCUUGGUUUUGUCGUCCUGAAUCCAACGAGACCAUCCGCAAGGUCGUAGCUCCCAUAUUAGCUGAGAUCUCGCAUUUUUGUGGCCCAUUUUUGGGCUCAAAAACGGGGUCGAAAAUUGACUUUUUUCCGAAUUUUCAAAGUGCUAUAAUUCCACCUUUUCUGGUCGAAUUCUGUUAUAAUCCGGUGUUUUCGUAAUGUAAGUGAUGGAAAUAAGCCGCUGAUAGAGGUUUCUAUAGCUAUUUUCGGGUAUAAAGAAAAUCGAUUUUUCGCAUUUUCAAAGUGCUAUAAUUCCCUUAGUUUUUCUCAAAACUCAUUAUAACCCGGUGUUUUCGUGUUGUAGGUGAUGGGAACAAGCCGCUGGUAUAGUUAGUUCAAAUUUAAAAAAAAUCAAUUUUUGGUGAAAAAUUCGAUACGGGGGGGUAUACCCUGAAAAUGAAAAAUCUCAAACUUUGGAGGUCCAUAUCUCGGCUUCUAUGGGCCCUAUCGGGAAAAUUCCAACGGUUUUGACUUAGUUUCGUCGUCCUGAAUCCAACGAGACCAUCCGCAAGGUCGUAGCUCCCAUAUUAGCUGAGAUCUCGCAUUUUUGUGGCCCAUUUUUGGGCUCAAAAACGGGGUCGAAAAUUGACUUUUUUCCGAAUUUUCAAAGUGCUAUAAUUCCACCUUUUCUGGUCGAAUUCUGUUAUAAUCCGGUGUUUUCGUAAUGUAAGUGAUGGAAAUAAGCCGCUGAUAGAGGUUUCUAUAGCUAUUUUCGGGUAUAAAGAAAAUCGAUUUUUCGCAUUUUCAAAGUGCUAUAAUUCCCUUAGUUUUUCUCAAAACUCAUUAUAACCCGGUGUUUUCGUGUUGUAGGUGAUGGGAACAAGCCGCUGGUAUAGUUAGUUCAAAUUUAAAAAAAAUCAAUUUUUGGUGAAAAAUUCGAUACGGGGGGGUAUACCCUGAAAAUGAAAAAUCUCAAACUUUGGAGGUCCAUAUCUCGGCUUCUAUGGGCCCUAUCGGGAAAAUUCCAACGGUUUUGUCUUAGUUUCGUCGUCCUGAAUCCAACGAGACCAUCCGCAAGGUCGUAGCUCCCAUAUUAGCUGAGAUCUGGCAUUUUUGUGGCCCAUUUUUGGGCUCAAAAACGGGGUCGAAAAUUGACUUUUUUCCGAAUUUUCAAAGUGCUAUAAUUCCACCUGUUCUGGUCGAAUUCUGUUAUAAUCCGGUGUUUUCGUAAUGUGGGUGAUGGGAAUAAGCCGCUGAUAGAGGUUUCUAUAGCUAUUUUCGGGUUUAAAGAAAAUCGAUUUUUCGCAUUUUCAAAGUGCUAUAAUUCCCUUAGUUUUUCUCAAAACUCAUUAUAACCCGGUGUUUUCGUGUUGUAGGUGAUGGGAACAAGCCGCUGGUAUAGUUAGUUCAAAUUUUAAAAAAAUCAAUUUUUGGUGAAAAAUUCGAUACGGGGGGGUAUACCCUGAAAAUGAAAAAUCUCAAACUUUGGAGGUCCAUAUCUCGGCUUCUAUGGGCCCUAUCGGGAAAAUUCCAACGGUUUUGUCUUAGUUUCGUCGUCCUGAAUCCAACGAGACCAUCCGCAAGGUCGUAGCUCCCAUAUUAGCUGAGAUCUGGCAUUUUUGUGGCCCAUUUUUGGGCUCAA
Long non-coding RNA from Anthonomus grandis grandis, 2784 nucleotides. RefSeq lists it as uncharacterized. NCBI's taxonomy places the organism in Eukaryota, Metazoa, Arthropoda, Insecta, Coleoptera, Curculionidae. The record is from RefSeq and is a predicted model, not a curated record. The transcript is spliced from 8 exons.